This 1130-nucleotide long non-coding RNA is filed under the name Sus scrofa (pig). Its description in RNAcentral is "lncRNA (ENSSSCG00065011038.1)". Lineage: Eukaryota; Metazoa; Chordata; Mammalia; Artiodactyla; Suidae. The record is from RNAcentral.
UAAAGCAAGUGGGCCUCAUCCAGGAAGUUGAAGGCCUUAAAAGCAAAGACAGAUGUUUCCCAGCGAAGAAGGACUUCCCAAGAAUGCAAAUGAGAAACCCUGCUUGAAAGCCUGCUGCCUUUUGGAAUCUGAACGCAAGCCUGCAACAUCAGCUCUGACCUGAAUCUCCAGCCGGCCCUGUACAUUUCAGACUUGCCAGCCACCACAUCACAAGAGCCAAUUCCUUCGAAGAUAUCCACGUAUAUAUCUUGGAGAGCGCUGGUUAAUCCGACUAAAGCACUGCCUUUUCAGGAAAGGUGUGUCCCAGACAUCAAGAUACAGAUGAACCAGCAUCAAUGGCUCAAUGGGAGAGAUUCACACAUUAUUGGACAAAUAAACUCCACUGCGAUGCUUGUCCUUCAAGACCAGGGAAAAGCCUCAGGUGAGAAGGGUCGUGUGCUAGGCUGACCUGAGCAGUCAGGAUCCUUCAAGACAGAUGGGGCUCUAAUUCUUGAUAGAAAAGUAGGUGUUGCCCCAGCAAAGAAGUGGGAAAGGUCAUCAUGGGCAGAGAAAGUCAGGUUAAGGGGAAGGAUCUGAUGAGGCUGAGGAUUAAUGUGGAAAUCAAAACUGCCAUACGGAGUUGGGAAUAGGAGAGAGGGCUGACUAGGGAGUCAGGCUUUGGCUAGAUCAUAAAGGUCAGGAUAUGAACUUGAAGUCUGAAGUGAAACUUUAAGGUGUGGUAGAGCCACUGAAAAUCUGUCCCCCCACUACACACACACACACACACACACACACACACACACACUGAAGGGCUUGCAGGAAGGUGAGGAUAAACACAGAUUCUACAAUUUAUAAUCCUUGAGGCAGUGUUUCAAUGUUAGGGCAGGAGUAAGGAGACUGGAGGCAGGUAUUAAGAGUUUCACUGACGAUUUCUGUACUCUUUCGACAGAAGGAAGAGGAAGGACAGCUAAUGGAUUGUUGUAACUAGAUUAAGGAAGGAAAAAGCCAAGAGAAAACUCAAAGAUAAACAUCCCAAGGUUGUGUGAUUUGCAUGUAGAAAGAGAACGGUCUUAGUUCAGGUUGCUAUAAACAAGAACCCCAGUCUGGGUGGCUGACACACUGCAGACAAUUAUUUCUCAUGGUUCUGGAAG